RNAcentral lists this ribosomal RNA (226 nucleotides) under Rhodella violacea. Its description in RNAcentral is "partial Eukaryotic large subunit ribosomal RNA". It matches the Rfam family "Eukaryotic large subunit ribosomal RNA", at positions 1 to 227 of the family's 3401-position model. The record is from RNAcentral. Lineage: Eukaryota; Rhodophyta; Rhodellophyceae; Rhodellales; Rhodellaceae.
GACCUCGGAUCAGGUAGGGAUACCCGCUGAACUUAAGCAUAUCAAUAAGCGGAGGAAAAGAAACCAACAGGGAUUGCCUCAGUAACGGCGAGUGAAGCGGCAAAAGCUCAAAUUUGAAAUCUGGCUCUUUCAGAGUCCGAGUUGUAAUUUGCAGAGGGCGCUUUGGCGUUGGCAGCGGUCCAAGUUCUUUGGAACAGGACGUCACAGAGGGUGAGAAUCCCGUACG